This 107-nucleotide small RNA is filed under the name Marmota monax (woodchuck). Lineage: Eukaryota; Metazoa; Chordata; Mammalia; Rodentia; Sciuridae. The record is from RNAcentral.
GCCAGGCAUGGUGGCACAUGCCUGUAAUCCCAGCAAUUCGGAAGGCUGAGGCUGGAGAAUCACAAGUUCUACGCCAACCUUAGCAAUUUAGUGAGAUCCUGUCUCAA